CAGUCGCCGCGGGAAUACGAAGGGGGCUAGCGUUGCUCGGAAUUACUGGGCGUAAAGGGAGCGUAGGCGGGUCGUUUAGUCAGAGGUGAAAUCCCGGGGCUCAACCUCGGAACUGCCUUUGAUACUGGCGACCCUGAGUAUGGGAGAGGUGAGUGGAACUCCGAGUGUAGAGGUGAAAUUCGUAGAUAUUCGCAAGAACACCAGUGGCGAAGGCGGCUUACUGGCUCGAAACUGACGCUGAGGCGCGAAAGCGUGGGGAGCAAACAGGAUUAGAUACCCCAGUAGUCCCUGUCUCUUAUAC
This 301-nucleotide ribosomal RNA is filed under the name uncultured bacterium. RNAcentral describes it as "partial 16S ribosomal RNA". It matches the Rfam family "Bacterial small subunit ribosomal RNA", at positions 509 to 807 of the family's 1533-position model. The record is from RNAcentral.